ACUCAAAGGAAUAGACGGGGGCCCGCACAAGCGGUGGAGCAUGUGGUUCAAUUCGACGCAACGCGAAGAACCUUACCGGGGCUCGAACGGUAGCCGCUACUCCUGGAAACAGGGGGUUCUCUUCGGAGACGGUUAUCGAGGUGCUGCAUGGCUGUCGUCAGCUCGUGUCGUGAGAUGUUGGGUUAAGUCCCGCAACGAGCGCAACCCUUGCCCUUAGUUGCUACCAGGUAGUGCUGAGCACCCUAGGGGAACUGUCGGCGAAAAGCCGGAGGAAGGUGGGGAUGACGUCAAGUCCUCAUGGCCUUUAUGUCCCGGGCUACACACGUGCUACAAUGGUCGGUACAAAGGGUCGCCAACCCGCGAGGGGGAGCUAAUCCCAAAAAGCCGAUCUCAGUUCGGAUUGCAGUCUGCAACUCGACUGCAUGAAGGCGGAAUCGCUAGUAAUCGCAGAUCAGAAUGCUGCGGUGAAUACGUUCCCGGGCCUUGCACACACCGCCCGU
Molecule: ribosomal RNA, 500 nt
Filed under: uncultured bacterium
Lineage: Bacteria
Description: partial 16S ribosomal RNA
Rfam family: Bacterial small subunit ribosomal RNA
Source: RNAcentral